RNAcentral lists this ribosomal RNA (738 nucleotides) under Bdellovibrio sp. TP. Its description in RNAcentral is "bacterial SSU rRNA". It matches the Rfam family "Bacterial small subunit ribosomal RNA", at positions 96 to 848 of the family's 1533-position model. The record is from RNAcentral. Lineage: Bacteria; Pseudomonadati; Bdellovibrionota; Bdellovibrionia; Bdellovibrionales; Pseudobdellovibrionaceae.
UGGCGCACGGGUGAGUAACGCGUGGAUAAUCUGCCUUAGAGUGGGGGAUAACUAGUCGAAAGAUUAGCUAAUACCGCAUAAGACCACAAGAGCUGCGGCUCAAGGGGUCAAAGGUUUUUCGCUCUAAGAUGAGUCCGCGUAAGAUUAGCUAGUUGGUGAGGUAAUGGCUCACCAAGGCGACGAUCUUUAACUGGUCUGAGAGGAUGAUCAGUCACACUGGAACUGAGACACGGUCCAGACUCCUACGGGAGGCAGCAGUAGGGAAUAUUGCACAAUGGAGGAAACUCUGAUGCAGCGACGCCGCGUGAGUGAUGAAGGCCUUCGGGUCGUAAAGCUCUGUCGCAGGGGAAUAACACAAUGAAUGUACCCUGUAAGAAAGGAUCGGCUAACUUCGUGCCAGCAGCCGCGGUAAGACGAGGGAUCCUAGCGUUGUUCGGAAUCAUUGGGCGUAAAGCGGAUGUAGGUGGCUUUGUAAGUCAGGUGUGAAAGCCUGGGGCUCAACCCCNGAAGUGCAUUUGAUACUGCGAAGCUUGAGUGUCGGAGAGGUUACUAGAAUUGUUGGUGUAGUGGUGAAAUACGUAGAUAUCAACAGGAAUACCGGAGGCGAAGGCGGGUAACUGGCCGAACACUGACACUGAGAUCCGAAAGCGUGGGGAUCAAACAGGAUUAGAUACCCUGGUAGUCCACGCCGUAAACGAUGGAUACUUGUUGUUGGAGGUAUUGACCCCUUCAGUGACG